This 476-nucleotide ribosomal RNA is filed under the name uncultured bacterium. RNAcentral describes it as "partial 16S ribosomal RNA". It matches the Rfam family "Bacterial small subunit ribosomal RNA", at positions 30 to 506 of the family's 1533-position model. The record is from RNAcentral.
AUUGAACGCUGGCGGCAUGCCUUACACAUGCAAGUCGAACGGUAACAGGUUAAGCUGACGAGUGGCGAACGGGUGAGUAAUGUAUCGGAACGUGCCCAGUCGUGGGGGAUAACUGCUCGAAAGAGCAGCUAAUACCGCGUACGACCUGAGGGUGAAAGCGGGGGAUCGCAAGACCUCGCGCGAUUGGAGCGGCCGAUAUCAGAUUAGGUAGUUGGUGAGGUAAAGGCUCACCAAGCCGACGAUCUGUAGCUGGUCUGAGAGGACGACCAGCCACACUGGGACUGAGACACGGCCCAGACUCCUACGGGAGGCAGCAGUGGGGAAUUUUGGACAAUGGGCGCAAGCCUGAUCCAGCCAUGCCGCGUGCGGGAAGAAGGCCUUCGGGUUGUAAACCGCUUUUGUCAGGGAAGAAAAGGUUCUGGCUAAUACCUGGGACUCAUGACGGUACCUGAAGAAUAAGCACCGGCUAACUACGU